Molecule: ribosomal RNA, 253 nt
Filed under: uncultured bacterium
Lineage: Bacteria
Description: partial 16S ribosomal RNA
Rfam family: Bacterial small subunit ribosomal RNA
Source: RNAcentral
UACGAAGGGUGCAAACGUUGCUCAGAAUUAUUGGGCGUAAAGCGCACGUAGGCGGCUUUUCAAGUCGGAUGUGAAAUCCCUCGGCUUAACCAAGGAAGUGCAUCCGAAACUGGAGAGCUUGAGUACUUAAGAGGAUCGCGGAAUUCCCGGUGUAGAGGUGAAAUUCGUAGAUAUCGGGAGGAACACCAGUGGCGAAGGCGGCGAUCUGGGAAGAUACUGACGCUGAGGUGCGAAAGCGUGGGGAGCAAACAGG